Pelobates cultripes (western spadefoot toad) is the source of this 352-nucleotide non-coding RNA. NCBI's taxonomy places the organism in Eukaryota, Metazoa, Chordata, Amphibia, Anura, Pelobatidae. The record is from the annotation of a GenBank genome assembly.
CAUACUUAGCACCUAAAUAUAGUGCUUGGUUAUCACUUUUAAAAUUGCACCGUAACCACUCUACAUAUUUCGCUUUAUGGCCACAAAAAGGCACACAGAAAGCAUUCAUCUGUCUGUAGGCAACAGUUAAAAACAUGAAAAUAUAUUGUUUUUAGAUAAAAUGGACAGAGAAAUUAAAUUGACUAGAAUCACAAUAGCUGAAUUUGUGAUAUAGAAAUCACACUUUUCACUGGAGCGCCAUUUUUUGACAAAUAGAGUCUUGUUUAGUGGACUUUUUUUUUUAAUUGAAUAUAUUUUCAUUUUCCAGUAAAAUGUAUAUGUAUUUUUUGUAGAGCCUAUUACAAUGGAGAGA